Molecule: ribosomal RNA, 230 nt
Filed under: uncultured bacterium
Lineage: Bacteria
Description: partial 16S ribosomal RNA
Rfam family: Bacterial small subunit ribosomal RNA
Source: RNAcentral
AGACGUGCGCAGGCGGUUAUAUAAGACAGAUGUGAAAUCCCCGGGCCUCAACCUGGGAACUGCAUUUGUGACUGUAUAGCUGGAGUGCGGCAGAGGGGGAUGGAAUUCCGCGUGUAGCAGUGAAAUGCGUAGAUAUGCGGAGGAACACCGAUGGCGAAGGCAAUCCCCUGGGCCUGCACUGACGCUCAUGCACGAAAGCGUGGGGAGCAAACAGGAUUAGAUACCCGAGU